RNAcentral lists this transfer RNA (72 nucleotides) under Ovis aries (sheep). It matches the Rfam family "tRNA". Rfam says of the family: Transfer RNA (tRNA) molecules are approximately 80 nucleotides in length. The record is from Rfam by way of RNAcentral. Lineage: Eukaryota; Metazoa; Chordata; Mammalia; Artiodactyla; Bovidae.
UCCCUGGUGGUCCAGUGGCUAAGACUCUGUGCUCUGAAUAUAGGGGGCCAGGUUCGAUCCCUGGUCAAGGAA